This 254-nucleotide long non-coding RNA is filed under the name Salvia miltiorrhiza (redroot sage). RNAcentral's name for it is "long non-coding RNA (SMIL_LNC004409)". The record is from RNAcentral. Lineage: Eukaryota; Viridiplantae; Streptophyta; Magnoliopsida; Lamiales; Lamiaceae.
CGAACCUCCUCUUCGAUAGUGAAAUUGAGAAGACCGCGAAGAAGCUAAGGAAGGAGGCAAAGGCAAGGAAGCUACUGGAUCUGCUGGAUUCGCAGUCUGACCUUCCCGUUCGACCAGAACAGUUCGUCGAGGAGAAGCCCAGUACUGUUGCUGCUACAGAGGUUCUGUUUGCCCAAACAGACCACGACUCAGAGACAGAAUCAGACUGUGAAGAAGAAACCGACUCAAUUUCGGUUGCAAGUACAGAGAGCGAC